UUGAUAUUCAUAUAAUUGUGAGUGAGAAUUCGAGUGAUCUCGUGACCUCAGUAUCGAAGUAAACAGCAACAUUAGUAGCUUUCUCAAGAGUCAGAAAUUAAACAUCAGAGAUCUACUAAAAUAAAAAAGUUUUGCACUGCAGUGACCUUUUAUAUUUGUUGUUUGUUUUGACCUAAGUCAAAAGUAUGAAGAUUGUUUCAGUGUUUAGUUUAAUGAA
This 217-nucleotide long non-coding RNA is filed under the name Ananas comosus (pineapple). Its description in RNAcentral is "long non-coding RNA (ACOM_LNC035603)". The record is from RNAcentral. Lineage: Eukaryota; Viridiplantae; Streptophyta; Magnoliopsida; Poales; Bromeliaceae.